AUUUCAUUAGUAUAAAAGUACAGUUGACUUCCAAUCAAAGAGUCUAAUCUAUUUAGAUGAAAUA
RNAcentral lists this transfer RNA (64 nucleotides) under Nesomachilis australica. RNAcentral's name for it is "tRNA-Gly". The record is from RNAcentral. Lineage: Eukaryota; Metazoa; Arthropoda; Insecta; Archaeognatha; Meinertellidae.